UGUUUUUAUUAAAUAGUUAAUGUGAUUGCUUAAUUUCUUUUAAUAAUAUAAAAUUAAACAAAAAAUGAGGAAGUAUACAAAAAAAUUGUUAUCAAAUCUUUAUUAUUCAUAAUCAUUAAUUAUCAUAUAUAUGUUAACCAUAUUAGAUAAUACCGUAGUUUUUAUUUAAGAAAAUAAUACAUGAUUCUCAUAUUUUGGGUUAAUAUAAUGUUUCAUACCAAUUGAAUUUUGGACCUACAAAUUAUUCAAUUGAUUCUUAUGAUGCCACGUAAGCCAAAUUGACAUCAUAAUUAAGUGGCACAUCAUUAAGUCUCUUUUGUAAUUAGUACAAAAUAUAUGUUAUAAUUUUUUAAAUAAUUUUCAAUUAAUAUACAUGAGAUACUAAUAUCUCCUAAACAAAUGGGAUCAUAUAAAUUUAAUGGUAAUCGUUCGACUAAGAUCACAUCCCCUGUACAAAUUAAUCAGAUUUAAUUAAACACAUAAAAAUAACAUUUUUGGAUUAAAAACCACCACUAAUUGAUGAAUGUAUGAAGAGUCAUAUUAUCAUUCUAACAAGUUUCCUUUUGCUAUAAAUGAAUAUGUUUCAUAUAUUUUUUAAAGCUGUUGAGCUCAAAACAAUAGAAAAGUAAUUAGAUUUGUAAAGUUACGAUUGCAAAUAUAAGACUCAACAACACAAAGCAAAAGAAAAAGAAAAACUAACUAGGAUCUAAACAAAUAUGACAAAUAAAAAGGUGUACUAAUUGUCUUCGAUUAACAGGGACUACGUGGUGUUAAUGAUGGACAAGUGUGAAAUCUGUACUAACCAACAAAAGAAACAAACAGAAGCAAUGAAUCAAAUCAAACUUUGUGAUAUUAAUAAUAAAGAAAGCCUUUAUCUAAUUAAGCUUUUAAUAAUGGAUGCGAGGAGAAGAGAUUGGAUAUGGAUAUAUAGUUGCCGCUAAUUCUUUCUGUGCAGUAGACGUAAACAUCAGACACAUGAAAGUUAGGCUAAAGUCAAAGUCAAACUCGUCAAGGCCUUUCAUACCCACAUGCCCACAUCUUGUGUUAAACUAAUUCUUUGUUUGUAAAAUUCUUUCGUUCUUGCAGUAAAUACAUUAUUCCCUCCGUUUCUAAAUACUAUGUUUUGGAAAAUGUUUGAUGUUUCAAAAUAGAUGAUAUUUUUAUAUAUUAAUGUAUUUUUUAAUUUUAUCGAAAACUGUGUAACCAAUUAUAUUUUGUAGUAUGUUUUGUAAUUUGUUGAAUAAUUUUAAUUUAUAUUUUAAUAAUAUUUUUAAAAUAAAAAAUAAAAUUUUUAAUAGCUAUGCACAAUCCUAAAACUUCAUGUAUUUUGAAACAGAAGGAAUACUAAUUAACAAAUAAUCACUAACUAUUUGAAUAAAGGAUAAAGAAAAAUACGGAGACAAUGUGGAAAUUAAUCCACACAAUCUAAAGAAGAAACAUUAAUUUUAGUUUCACAUCACAUAUCAUAUCCAACAUAUAAAAAUGUUAUCUAGUGGAAGAAGUCCUAUGAAUAUGCUUCAGAUUUUUAAAUAAACAAGUUUAAAAUAGUAUUACUGUUGUUUUUAUCUCAUCAAGUUUCCCAAGGAUUUGACUACUCCCACACCUGGUAAGACCUAAUUAUUACAUCAAACAGUAAUCAUUUCUAAAUCCAAGUUUAUCGUACUAUUCUUCCAUGAGAUGGAGAUUAAGAAACAAGAAGGAUAUAAAAUGAGACAGGACUAUUAUCUGCUAAACUCCAAGAUAUAGUUUUUACUCCAGAAAGAAAAAGAUAAAUGUGGUGAAAACGAGACAUAAUAAUAUAUGUGAAAAGAAAAGUAACCACCAUAAACUGGUGACUGUAUAAUAAGACAGACUCCACAGGCAAAGCGGCUAUCAUAUGAUAAUUGAAACUGAUGUCUAAAAAAGUCCAACACGACUCCUAGUGCUAAGUCCUGAGAAGUUGAUGUCCCAUUAAGUUAACAACAGUUAAAAGAGAUGCUUUUCUAGGAAUGAGGUAAUACAGUAACACGUGCAGUUGAAAUUUCAAGUCUUUGAUGUCAAAUCAUGAGAAAUAAAUUUUGACAGUUUUAGAAAGAUACUACAUUCCAAUUCUAAUCCAAAACGUGUGUAAGUGUGUUUUUCGUUCUUUUGAUAUCUAAGAUAAGGUUACCCAAAUACUGUAACAAUAACCUAACCUAAUCAAACAACAACUAGUGAAACAUACAUUUACCUUUAUAGGUUUAACCACUACAAGAAAAAAUGGUCAUAACAACUACGCGUUACGACUACAAUUGUGACAUCGUAAUUUUACAUCGUCUUUAAAACAAACUGACGACGAAAAUUGAAAUCGUCUAAUUUUGGUACGACAAAAUUCCAUAGUAAAUUAGUCGUAAAAUAGCGACUCUUUUACGACGAUCAAAUCGUAAUUUUGCUAGAAAAGCGUUUUGUCGUAAAUUAGUCGUAGAGUCACAACUAGUUUACGAUGACGUAUUAAAUUCGUCGUUACAAAGUCUUUAAUUUAUGACCAUUUUACGUCGAACAAUUUUCAUCUAGUUAACGAUCCUAUUACGAGGCAUGUAGUUGUAAAUUAAUAGUAAAUUUUAUGGUGAAUGUAAACUGGUAGUGACAUUCCCACCUAUCAAUUUUUUUUUUUUUUAUAAAUAUGCUAUCUCUUCUCUCAUUCUUAAGAUGCAGAAGAAAAAAACAAAAAAUGUCUCGAGAUAUCUAUGAGCUUCUGAGUUGGAUGUAUGCACACAAAGAUUAUGCGGGAAGAGUGACAAACGAUUUUCUCAACAGGACCGAGAUAUUAAUGUACCAGGCCGGAAAUACGCUCUCACGCAAAUAAAAACCGGAAAAAAUGUUGUCCUUGUCGGAAAUGCAAGAAUACCAAGUUUGCUCUUAGUGAAACGGUUUGGAAACAUAUAGUAAAUAGAGGAUUUACUCCACAUUACUACAUCUAGUUUCACCAUGGAGAGAGUGAUAGUAGGAAUGAAGCUAGUAGUAGUAACCAGUUUGAAAAUGUUCGUAAUAGAAAUGAACCAAGCCAUUUGCCUUCUAAAAGUUACCCUCAAGAGGAUCAGAUGGUAAAUCAUGAUAGAAUGCAUGAUAUUGUCACAUAUGCAUUUCGUGAAACAAUCUCAGUAAUAGAGAAAGUAAAAAAUGUAAAAGGGCCUAACUUGGAUGCAAAAAUAUUUUAAGAAAUGGUAGCCGCAACUAAUCAACCGAUAUAUGAAGGUUGUAUAGAAGGUCUUUCUAAAUUAUCAUUGACAACUAAGAGUCUAGGAUGAUGAAUAUCAAAACAUAUAACUUACCUGAAAUUUGGAGUGGAAGAUGCAGAAUUGUUGGAGUGUAAAUUUUGCAUGAAGCCACAAUAUAAACCGCAAGGACGUGGGCAUAAUGAAGCGGAUGUGGUCCUUACCUAUUACGGAUAGACUGAAGAGAUUAUAUCAAUUUGAAAAGAUUGCAGCAGCGAUGAUAUGGAAUGCAUAACAUACUCAGAAGGAAGGUUAGAUCAAUCAUCCGUCAAUGCAAAAACGUGGAAACAUUUGAAUUCGGUACACAAAGAUUUUGCAAGCAACAUUCGCAAUGUUUAUCUUGGAUUGUGCACAGAUAGAUUUAGUCCUUUUGGAAUGUCUGGAAGACAAUACUCACUGUUGCCAGUCAGGACGCCACACAACCUUCCACCAGAGAUUUGUAUGGAAAGGGAAUUCCUUUUCAUGAGAUGAGUUUGAAGAAAGUGAUGAUCCGGAUGAUGGUUCUGAUGAAGAGUGAUUUUAGUUAUGUCAGUUUGCAAUUCAAUUUGUGUUUCAUUUUUUUUGUUAGACUCAUUGAUAUUGCAUUAUCAUUUUCAUUAUCUUGCUAAAGUAUGAACUUAAUGUUAACAAAAAAAUUAACGUUCAAACAAGUUAUGAAACUUUGUAGUUUGGUGUUUAAAAGUGUAUAACUUAUGAUGUUUGGGGUUUCGGUUUGAGGGUAUAAACAAAAAUCAUCCCUACUUCGUCGUAAUCUAAGCAAUCGUCGUAAAAUCGAAGUAAAUUUACGAUGAAGUAGAGAUGAAUCCUAUAAAUUUGUCCUGAUGUCGUAGGCAUGAGUAUACAUGAUCUCUCUCUACUUCUUCAUAAAUUUACAUCGCUUUUACGACGAUUGCUUAGAUUUGAGCCUAUAAAUAUGGACCACUCUCAUUCUUAAAAUGCACAAGUUUAAAACUCUUAAAAUAGAUUUUAAAAUAGAGAGAUUUAACAGACGCUUGAGGAUUCUUCACAAGAGACUUGAGAAAAUUUAGUUUCUUCAGAUGAAUCCUCAUGGUUUGAUAAAUCUCUCAGAGCAUUUUGUGUAUAACAAUUAGGGAUGUUAUAAUGGGUUUUGUUAGCGGGUUUUUAAUGGGUUAAAAAAAAAUAAACGCCCAUUUAGACUCAUUUAGUUAAAUGGGUUUUAAAUGGGUAAUUUUGUUGAGAUCCAUGUUCGAGAUUGCGCUAGGCGUGAGUUGGACGGCUGGUCUGGGCCUAGCGAAUUGAAAAGAAAUCGGAGUUUAAUCGACGAUUAAUCGGGGAUUAAUUUUGAGCAUUUUUUUCAAUUUUCUGAUAAAUAUAUAUAUUUUUGUAUGAUUUAUAAAGAAGACAUCAACAAUUAAUGUGGCUUGGUGGUAAUUAAAUUUGUGGACAUCCGCUAGUAUCCGUGUUCAAAGCCCAAGGACCGUUUUUUCUUCUCUUUUUUUUUGUUUUUGUCACUAAUGGAACAACCGUAAAUAAGUCAUCAUCAUCCUCAGCCUUUCGUAGGGUUUACACAGAACUUUUUUUCAGAGCCGCCAUGCUUAUUUUCUCAGAUUUCAUCUCUUUUUUUUUUGCGUUUUUCAUGUUAGUUGUGAUUCAAACUUGUAGAUUUAACAUGUGACAUCUGAUUUCAAGCUUUCAAACCUCAAAAACGUGAAUAACAUUGAUGACUCCGAUUUAAUAGCCGCAUAUGACGAAAUCGCCACGCUUCAUCACUGCUGAGCGCUUCUCCGGCCGAGUAAUCGCGGGUGCGGCCGCGUUUUAGAACCUGGGUUGAGACCCAUUUAUUUAAAUGGGUUCUACUUAAAAUUAGUGGAGACCCUGUUAACCCAUUAAACUUAAUAUAAUUAAUUAUUUUUUGCAGGAAAAUGUGAUUGUAUAGUUUUGGCGAAAAAUUUGAUUUUACGAUUUAUGCGGAAAAACUUCGAUUUUCCGAUUUAUGCGGGAAAACAUAAAUUUUACGGUUUUGGCGGGAAAACUCAAAUUUUACGGUUUUGGCAGGAAAACUCGAUUUUACGGUUUUGGCGGGAAAACUUGAUUUUACAGGAAAACUCAUUUUUUUAUGGUUUUGACGGGAAAACUCAAUUUUUACAGUAUUUUACGGUUUUGGCAGGAAAACUCGAUUUUAACGGUUUUGGCGGAAAACUCGAUUUUGCGUUUUGGCGGGAAAACUGGAUUUUACGGUUUUGGUGGGAAAACUCGAUUUUAUGGUUUUUGCGGGAAAACUCGGUUUUACGGUUAUUGCGGGAAAACUCGGUUUUACGGUUUUUUGCGGAAAAACUUGAUUUUGCGGUUUUAGCGAAAAAAAAUCAAUUUUGCGGUUUUAGAAGAAAACUUGAUUUUAUGGUUUUACCAGAACAAUUUGAUUUGCGUUUAUAUAAUAAAAAUCAGUUAAAAUUUUUAUUUGUUUCAUUUAAUUUUUGUUAAAAACCAUAAAGUUAAAACAAUUAAAAAUUAAAUUAUCAAUAGUUUAAAUGGGUCUAAAUGGGUUAGUACAAAAUUUGUGGAUCUAACGGGGUGGGUUUAAAUGGGGUGGGUUUUACUAUUUUAACAUCCCUAAUAACAAUGGUUUUAGUUGUUAAUAUCUCGUCGUCCCUAAUUCGUCAUAAACAAAAACACGGAUCGUCUUUAAUUCGUCGUAAUGGGAAAACACAUGUCGUCGUUAUUUCGUCGUAAUAUCAAAGCAUGUGUCGUCUUUUAAUUCGUAGCAAUUCCAGUUACGACCCUAUUUUGUCGUAACUUUACGAUGUCGUUAUAUAAACCCAAACAGCCGAAACCAUUUCGUUGCUCCUUCCUCUCUCUCUCUAACAUUGAAUUCCCCUCCUCCCCCUACAUGUAAUUUUUUUCUUUUAGUUUUAGGUGGUUAGAUUAUGAUGGAAUUAGAUUUGGCUUGAAAUUAGUUUAGUAUGGAAUUAGAUUAGGUUUGAUCUAUUGCUGUCAACAAGAAGGUGAAGGCAGCGUUCAACGCUAAGGCGAUGGCUCGCCUGAAGAACAAUGUCGGGGAUUGGAAGGAGAAGUGGAUGGUUGUAGGGGAUGAGGCAAAACCUGUCUACAUCAGCGAUGACAUUUGGACUGGCUUGAAGACUUAUUGGAAUUGGCCUAAGUCAGUUCGAAAGUCCCUAUGUUGCUCCGCGUCUCGGUUGACGCAUGAUGCACAGGAAAAUUUUCCCAUACCCCCACACUUCCGGACAGACCCCACACGCUGGGAAGGUCCUACAAAUUGCUGCUCAAGAAGGAGCACCACCAUCUCUUUCCCGGAUUUACAAGAUGAAACACCAGCAUUCUGAUGGGACGUUUGUGCAUCCUCAAGCAUAAAAGAUCUACAACAAUGUGGAGGCUCAGAUCCAGGAGGCCCAGACAAAAAUAUCGCAACAAAAUCCGGAGGACGAAUCGGUCUAGUUGUCCACCGUCGAACAAGACAAAUUUUUUGAGUAGGUAAAGUAUUCAAUCUUUUAAAUAUAUGUUUAUAUACUUUUUAUUUUUAAAUUUUAUAUAUGUACUAAUAUUCAUUUCAUUAAUUGAAUGAAGGUUGUCCCAAAGAAAAGGGGACGGAUGGUCGGGAUCGGUACAGUGAACGGUUUCCCGAGGGUGAGAUCUGAAUAUGCUGCAAGAAUGCAGGACAAUUCUCAACUCCGGACAGAUUUGACGUCUGCCAACCAAGUCAUAUCGGAGCUCCGGACGGACAACCGAGCCAAAAGAACCCACAUUAGGGACAUGGCGGUGAUGUUCGAUGUUAUUGUCGACACAAACCCGGCUCUUGCGUAGAUGUGGCAAACUGUACGCCCCCAACCUCACUCCGGAAGAGCAUGCAGAUAUAGAGCAACAGACCGAGCACCAUAGUUCCCAGCUCUUCGAUGACAUCAACUAUAAUAAUUAGGUUUUAUUUCGGUUUUAUAUUUUGCAUUUUGAAUAUUAUUAUAUUUUGGAUAUUAUGUUUUAUGAUAUAUUAGUUUUUUCUUUAAAAUUUUCCAAAUUCAAGAUUUUUAAAAAUUUUCAAUAAACUUUUAAUUUUAUACAUUUUUAAUUUAAUUUUUUUUUUUAAAAAAUUCCCAAAAUUAUAUUCAUAUACGUAAUAUGGUCAUACAUAUUACGACGAAUUAACAUCGAUUUUCGACUUACGACCCUUUUACGACGAAGAUCGAUGUUAAUUCAUCAUAAUAUAUACAACGACUAUUUAACGUUGAAUGUAACGACUAAUAUACGACUAAGGAAAAUGAUGUAACAUUACGUCUUA
Brassica rapa (field mustard) is the source of this 7482-nucleotide long non-coding RNA. RefSeq lists it as uncharacterized. The record is from RefSeq and is a predicted model, not a curated record. Lineage: Eukaryota; Viridiplantae; Streptophyta; Magnoliopsida; Brassicales; Brassicaceae.